Molecule: small nucleolar RNA, 109 nt
Filed under: Arabidopsis thaliana (thale cress)
Lineage: Eukaryota; Viridiplantae; Streptophyta; Magnoliopsida; Brassicales; Brassicaceae
Also listed under: 1 other name
Description: Plant small nucleolar RNA R71
Rfam family: Plant small nucleolar RNA R71
About the family: R71 is a member of the C/D box family of snoRNAs containing the C (UGAUGA) and D (CUGA) box motifs. Multiple nearly identical copies of this snoRNA have been identified in Arabidopsis, and it is thought to function as a 2'-O-ribose methylation guide for 18S ribosomal RNA.
Source: RNAcentral
GCAUCAUGAGCAGCAGGACCUUGGUUGGUAUAACCCUUGAAACGCUCUCAUGCUUCAUAGAAGCUUUCACCAGCCUUCUGUAAAACCCAGAGAUCUCAUUUCUGAGUCU